UGACACUGAACAGAGUGUUGGUCCCCACCGUGAGACAAGGGGCCACCUUUCCUAUGCUGGCUGGUCUCUGGCUACAGACUGAUCUACUGGGGGUGGGAGAAGUCACCUUCCAAGGGUCAAGCUCCAGAGAAGGGAGCAGCUAGUCUGGUUAAGCCUGUGAUGAACAAAUGAUCAUGAAUGAUGAUGAGUCAGUGAAUGAC
Long non-coding RNA from Bubalus bubalis (water buffalo), 200 nucleotides. RefSeq lists it as uncharacterized. Lineage: Eukaryota; Metazoa; Chordata; Mammalia; Artiodactyla; Bovidae. The transcript is spliced from 2 exons. The record is from RefSeq and is a predicted model, not a curated record.